RNAcentral lists this ribosomal RNA (1687 nucleotides) under Klebsiella pneumoniae. Its description in RNAcentral is "bacterial LSU rRNA". It matches the Rfam family "Bacterial large subunit ribosomal RNA", at positions 1271 to 2925 of the family's 2925-position model. The record is from RNAcentral. Lineage: Bacteria; Pseudomonadati; Pseudomonadota; Gammaproteobacteria; Enterobacterales; Enterobacteriaceae.
UGCUGGAGGUAUCAGAAGUGCGAAUGCUGACAUAAGUAACGAUAAAGCGGGUGAAAAGCCCGCUCGCCGGAAGACCAAGGGUUCCUGUCCAACGUUAAUCGGGGCAGGGUGAGUCGACCCCUAAGGCGAGGCCGAAAGGCGUAGUCGAUGGGAAACAGGUUAAUAUUCCUGUACUUGGUGUUACUGCGAAGGGGGGACGGAGAAGGCUAUGUUAGCCGGGCGACGGUUGUCCCGGUUUAAGCAUGUAGGCUGGUUAUCCAGGCAAAUCCGGAUAAUCAAGGCUGAGGUGUGAUGACGAGGCACUACGGUGCUGAAGUAACAAAUGCCCUGCUUCCAGGAAAAGCCUCUAAGCAUCAGGUAACAUCAAAUCGUACCCCAAACCGACACAGGUGGUCAGGUAGAGAAUACCAAGGCGCUUGAGAGAACUCGGGUGAAGGAACUAGGCAAAAUGGUGCCGUAACUUCGGGAGAAGGCACGCUGGUGUGUAGGUGAAGUCCCUGCGGAUGGAGCUGAGACCAGUCGAAGAUACCAGCUGGCUGCAACUGUUUAUUAAAAACACAGCACUGUGCAAACACGAAAGUGGACGUAUACGGUGUGACGCCUGCCCGGUGCCGGAAGGUUAAUUGAUGGGGUUAUCCGUAAGGAGAAGCUCUUGAUCGAAGCCCCGGUAAACGGCGGCCGUAACUAUAACGGUCCUAAGGUAGCGAAAUUCCUUGUCGGGUAAGUUCCGACCUGCACGAAUGGCGUAAUGAUGGCCAGGCUGUCUCCACCCGAGACUCAGUGAAAUUGAACUCGCUGUGAAGAUGCAGUGUACCCGCGGCAAGACGGAAAGACCCCGUGAACCUUUACUAUAGCUUGACACUGAACAUUGAGCCUUGAUGUGUAGGAUAGGUGGGAGGCUUUGAAGCGUGGACGCCAGUCUGCGUGGAGCCAACCUUGAAAUACCACCCUUUAAUGUUUGAUGUUCUAACGUUGGCCCCUGACCGGGGUUGCGGACAGUGUCUGGUGGGUAGUUUGACUGGGGCGGUCUCCUCCCAAAGCGUAACGGAGGAGCACGAAGGUUAGCUAAUCCUGGUCGGACAUCAGGAGGUUAGUGCAAUGGCAUAAGCUAGCUUGACUGCGAGCGUGACGGCGCGAGCAGGUGCGAAAGCAGGUCAUAGUGAUCCGGUGGUUCUGAAUGGAAGGGCCAUCGCUCAACGGAUAAAAGGUACUCCGGGGAUAACAGGCUGAUACCGCCCAAGAGUUCAUAUCGACGGCGGUGUUUGGCACCUCGAUGUCGGCUCAUCACAUCCUGGGGCUGAAGUAGGUCCCAAGGGUAUGGCUGUUCGCCAUUUAAAGUGGUACGCGAGCUGGGUUUAGAACGUCGUGAGACAGUUCGGUCCCUAUCUGCCGUGGGCGCUGGAGAAUUGAGGGGGGCUGCUCCUAGUACGAGAGGACCGGAGUGGACGCAUCACUGGUGUUCGGGUUGUCAUGCCAAUGGCACUGCCCGGUAGCUAAAUGCGGAAGAGAUAAGUGCUGAAAGCAUCUAAGCACGAAACUUGCCCCGAGAUGAGUUCUCCCUGAGACUUUAAGUCUCCUGAAGGAACGUUGAAGACGACGACGUUGAUAGGCCGGGUGUGUAAGCGCAGCGAUGCGUUGAGCUAACCGGUACUAAUGAACCGUGAGGCUUAACCUUACAACGCCGAAG